Molecule: ribosomal RNA, 216 nt
Filed under: uncultured bacterium
Lineage: Bacteria
Description: partial 16S ribosomal RNA
Rfam family: Bacterial small subunit ribosomal RNA
Source: RNAcentral
UGGGAACGUGCCUUUUGGUUCGGAACAACCCAGGGAAACUUGGGCUAAUACCGGAUAAGCCCUUACGGGGAAAGAUUUAUCGCCAAGAGAUCGGCCCGCGUCUGAUUAGCUAGUUGGUGAGGUAACGGCUCACCAAGGCGACGAUCAGUAGCUGGUCUGAGAGGAUGAUCAGCCACACUGGGACUGAGACACGGCCCAGACUCCUACGGGAGGCAG